This 510-nucleotide ribosomal RNA is filed under the name uncultured bacterium. RNAcentral describes it as "partial 16S ribosomal RNA". It matches the Rfam family "Bacterial small subunit ribosomal RNA", at positions 28 to 507 of the family's 1533-position model. The record is from RNAcentral.
GACGAACGCUGGCGGCGUGCUUAACACAUGCAAGUCGAACGAAGAGCGACGGAAGCUUGCUUCUAUCACUCUUAGUGGCGCACGCGUGAGUAACGCGUAAUCAACCUGCCCUUCAGAGGGGGACAACAGUUGGAAACGACUGCUAAUACCGCAUACGAUCUAAUCUCGGCAUCGAGGAUGGAUUAAAGGUGGCCUCUACAUGUAAGCUAUCACUGAAGGAAGAGAUUGCGUCUGAUUAGCUAGGUGGGGGGGUAACGGCCCACCAAGGCGAUGAUCAGUAGCCGGGCUGAGAAGAUGAACGGCCACAAUGGGAAUGAGACACGGCCCAGACUUCUUAGGGAGGCAGCCGGGGGGAAAUAUCCGAAAAUGACGGAAGUCUGACGGAGCAAAGCCGGGGUAGUGAUGAAGGGCUUCGGGUUGUAAAGCUCUGUUAAUCGGGAAGAAAGGCCUUCUUGCGAAUAGCGAGAAGGAUUGACGGUACCGGAAGAGAAAGCAACGGCUAACUACGUG